AUGGGGACAUUGGGGGCAGGGGGAGAUUGGGGGACAUUGGGGGAUAUUGGGGACAUUGGGGGCAAAGGGGGAUGUUGGGGGACAUUAAGGGCAGUGGGGACAUUGGGGUGUAUUGGGGGUAAUGGGGUCAAUGGGGUCAAUGGGGACGUUGGGGACAUUGUGGGGCACUGGGGGUGAUGGGGACGUUGAGUUGUAGGGAUUUGGGGCUGCUGGAGGUUUGGGGGUAAUGGGGACACGGAGCCAGCAGGGCUGCUGGGUGUCACUGCAGGUGACAGCGCUGCCACCGAGGAGCUGGGCGGUCGUGGGGACACUGAUGUCACCAACACGGACCCGAGAGCUUCAGGUGUCACCAACGUGGAUCUGGGGCCUCCAGGUGCCACCAGGACCCCCAUGGCCACCCGCGUCCCCAUGGAUACGGGGUCACCAAGUGCCACCAAUGAUGUCCCCGUGGCUCCAACAUCUCCAGAUGCCACCAACGUCCCCAUGGAUUUAAGGUCACCAAGUGCCACCAAUGACGUCCCCAUGGCACCAGGACCUCCAGAUGCCACCAGGACCCCCAUGGCCACCCGUGUCCCCAUGGAUUUAAGGUCACCAAGUGCCACCAAUGACAUCCCGAUGGCACCAGGACCUCCAGAUGCCACCAGGACCCCCAUGGCCACCAACGUCCCGAUGGAUUUAAGGUCACCAAGUGCCACCAAUGACGUCCCCAUGGC
RNAcentral lists this long non-coding RNA (713 nucleotides) under Phasianus colchicus (ring-necked pheasant). RNAcentral's name for it is "lncRNA (ENSPCLG00000017456.1)". Lineage: Eukaryota; Metazoa; Chordata; Aves; Galliformes; Phasianidae. The record is from RNAcentral.